UUCCGGUUUGAUCCUGCCGGACCCGACUGCUAUCAGAGUGGGACUAAGCCAUGCGAGUCGACGUAGCAAUGCGUGGCGAACGGCUCAGUAACACGUAGUCAACAUGCCCAGGGGACGUGGAUAACCUCGGGAAACUGAGAAUAAACCACGAUAGGUCACGAUUUCUGGAAUGGAUCAUGGCCUAAAUCUACAUGGCCCCUGGAUUGGACUGCGGCCGAUCAGGCUGUUGGUGAGGUAAUGGCCCACCAAACCUAUAACCGGUACGGGCUCUGAGAGGAGAAGCCCGGAGAUGGGCACUGAGACAAGGGCCCAGGCCCUAUGGGGCGCAGCAGGCGCGAAACCUCUGCAAUAGGCGAAAGCCUGACAGGGUUACUCUGAGUGAUUUCCGCUAAGGGGAUCUUUUGGCACCUCUAAAAAUGGUGCAGAAUAAGGGGUGGGCAAGUCUGGUGUCAGCCGCCGCGGUAAUACCAGCACCCCGAGUGGUCGGGACGAUUAUUGGGCCUAAAGCAUCCGUAGCCGGUUCUGCAAGUCUUCCGUUAAAUCCAGCCGCUCAACGGAUGGGCCGCGGAGGAUACUACAGGACUAGGAGGCGGGAGAGGCAAGCGGUACUCAGUGGGUAGGGGUAAAAUCCUUUGAUCCAUUGAAGACCACCAGUGGCGAAGGCGGCUUGCCAGAACGCGCUCGACGGUGAGGGAUGAAAGCUGGGGGAGCAAACCGGAUUAGAUACCCGGGUAGUCCCAGCUGUAAACGAUGCAGACUCGGUGAUGGGCUAGCCUUGUGCCAGCCCAGUGCCGCAGGGAAGCCGUUAAGUCUGCCGCCUGGGGAGUACGGUCGCAAGACUGAAACUUAAGGGAAUUGGGGGGGGAGCC
This 869-nucleotide ribosomal RNA is filed under the name uncultured archaeon. RNAcentral's name for it is "bacterial SSU rRNA". It matches the Rfam family "Archaeal small subunit ribosomal RNA", at positions 1 to 878 of the family's 1478-position model. The record is from RNAcentral.